AUUAUAAAAUACGUUUCCUUUCCCUGUAAAGUCCAUUGCUCUUAUCUAGUCCUCCUCCUCCUCCUCCUCCUUCAUCUUCUCGUCUUUCUCGUACUUCUUGGAUUCCUCCCCUCGUAUAUAUUUCUCUUAUUUAUCGGUUCUUGUUCCAGAAGCUCUAUCACGUCCAUACCAAGCCGAAAUGAAGAAAGCCGUGUUGAAACUGGACUUGCACGACGACAAAGCCAAGCAGAAAGCCAUGAGCAGAGUCUCUGGACUUUCAGGUGUUGAUUCAAUCUCCAUGGACAUGAAGGAUCAGAAAUUGACUGUAACAGGAGACAUAGAUCCAGUUGUCGUGGUGAGAAAACUGAGAAAGCUGUGUCCCACAACUAUUGUCUCUGUUGGUCCAGCAAAGGAGCCGGAGAAAAAGAAGGAAGAGCCCAAGAAAGAGGAACCCAAGAAGACAGAAGAGAAAAAGAAAGAUCCAAAUGAUGUUUCUGAGCUUGUUAAGGCCUACAAAGCUUAUAAUCCUCACAUGACUACAUAUUAUCAUGAGUUCAAGAGAUGCGACACAAAUUUAAGCCGGCCAACAUGGUUUGGAAUUUGAAUUGAGAAGCGACUACCUUACAAAAGCUUCUUUACACAAUUCUUAUCCUUGAUUUCGAAUAUUUAAUAUUAAAAUACUGAUGAUUGAUUCAUCUGAUAGAGACAAUAUGCUAAAGUAAGUGUGUGUGGAUGCAGAUGCUCCAAUGAGUAACACGCACUUCACUCGUGAUAUUCAGUUAUUCACCUGACUUCCUGCAAAGCCUGGUAUCCAUGCAUGAUUUCUGAUCAUGGGUUAAGGUUUGCUUGGUUGUUGGGUUGAGAAUAGAGCUGCUUCUUGGUUAGGAUGUUGGAGGAGUUUGUGGGAGGUGGAGAGGGAGUAGAGUUUUACGAUGUGUAUCUGUGUUAUUGGGGCUGGUUACCUUAACCUACCAAAAAUGAGUGGCAGUGCCUUUAAUGAUAUUUGGUUACGCUCGCAUUGGGAAUCAAAUUCAGGACUCUCCAAGUCCGUAUGGUUUGGCCCCACACUCAAAGAAAUUCAUCACUAGACUAAAGUGGUUAUGUACAAUCUAUAUAGUACCAGCCUAUCAGGCUCGCAGUGGGAAUCAAAUUCAAGACUUUCCGAGUCCAUAUGGUUUGACCUCCACACUCAGAGAGGUUCACCGCUAGACUAUUAGUCAAGUGGUUAUCUAUAGUCUAUCCAGUACCAACCUACCAGGCGCUCAGUGAGCAGCACCUGCAAAACUAGUUUGGAGAUCUUGGUACAUAUUUACCAGGGGAAGCAGACAGAGUUGGUCUUGCAAUUGGUAAAUGAAUGUAUGGUGAGACUGGUGAAUACAGAGCUACUGGAGUACUAGUAUAUGAAGAACGCGGAGUACUACAGUGAGAAUACUGAUAAACUGGGGAUGCCACUCCAGGCGAUGCAAUUGAUUUCAAUGUUGUUGAAGUAAGCAUAUUGAUCUUGAUUCUGAAACGGAGCAGGGAAGUGAUCAGAAUAGCAUAAUAAGACCGCGGAAAAUAGAGCGACAGAGAAGCAUUACUUGUUGUGAGCGUCGACGUACUCGUCGGUCUCAUCCAGUAUUUCUUCCUACACAAUUUCAGAAUAGUAUGUGAGCAUCUUCUGCUGAAGAUGUAUGAAUUUUCUGCUAUAUUAAGCACUGACCUGCAACAGUUCUUCCAUAACAUCCUCCAAGGUUAUGAUACCAAUAACCUCCUCAUCUUCAAAGGGAAGAUAUUCCAAGCCUUCUUGUUUUGAAUUUGAAUUGAUAUUGAUCUUGAAAA
Tripterygium wilfordii is the source of this 1800-nucleotide RNA transcript. It is a transcript of the gene named heavy metal-associated isoprenylated plant protein 39-like, with no coding region annotated. The record is from RefSeq and is a predicted model, not a curated record. NCBI's taxonomy places the organism in Eukaryota, Viridiplantae, Streptophyta, Magnoliopsida, Celastrales, Celastraceae. The transcript has 5 exons.